This is a long non-coding RNA of Xenopus laevis (African clawed frog), 203 nucleotides long. RefSeq lists it as uncharacterized. The record is from RefSeq and is a predicted model, not a curated record. Lineage: Eukaryota; Metazoa; Chordata; Amphibia; Anura; Pipidae. The transcript has 2 exons.
GUUUAGAAUAGGAAAGAAGCCGACAGAAGUGCGCCACCUAGAAGACACCACCUGCAAACAAAUACAAUGGGCCAAAUCUACUGCUAAAAUAUAUAAAAGAUUUCACCUAGUCCAUAUACUGUAGCUGUGGAUGAAUGGAGCUCUCCAUAUUAUGCUUUACGAGAUCGCCAAGGUAAUGCUAUCGUGGUCGCUGCCUGUGAUAU